RNAcentral lists this ribosomal RNA (253 nucleotides) under uncultured bacterium. RNAcentral's name for it is "partial 16S ribosomal RNA". It matches the Rfam family "Bacterial small subunit ribosomal RNA", at positions 524 to 776 of the family's 1533-position model. The record is from RNAcentral.
UACGUAGGCAGCAAGCGUUGUUCGGAGUUACUGGGCGUAAAGGGUGCGUAGGCGGCCCUGUAAGUAUGGUGUGAAAUCUCCCGGCUUAACUGGGAGGGUGCGCUAUAGACUGCGGGGCUCGAGUGUGGGAGAGGGAAGUGGAAUUCCUGGUGUAGCGGUGAAAUGCGUAGAUAUCAGGAGGAACACCGGUGGUGUAAACGGCUUUCUGGACCAUAACUGACGCUGAGGCACGAAAGCGUGGGUAGCAAACAGG